GUUGGGGCGUUCGGCGACUGAGGAGCGAUUGUGCAGGUGCAGUAAGGGUACCCUGUGGCCUAGCGUUUGAGGGGACAGAGAUUCAGUUUGCCUGAGAGCUUUAAAGCCGCUGGGUUCUGCCUUCGCCCUGAGAAGGUUUCGUUCCCGAAGUCAGGUCUGACCCGGACCGCAGGUGGUGUUAGAUCUAUUAACAGAUUUUUUGCAGACAGGCCAUUUUUGCUAUUCUUUUUUCCAUGAUUUGAUGAUUCUUUAAGCCUAGAAGAAUGUGUCUGUAAUUCAGAUAACCUCAUGUUUGGUGUUUUCAGGCCCAUGGUCACUACUGUCAAAUGCUGUUACAAUCACACUGGAUAUGCUGCUGUUCUUUACUUUGGGCUUGUUUGUACAUUUUGUGUUCUUCGUCUCCAUCUUUGACAUUUAUUUUACAUCUCCUUUGGUUCAUGGAAUGACUCCUCAGUUUACAUCAUUGCCUCCUCCAGCAAGAAGAUUAGUGCUCUUUGUUGCCGAUGGCCUGAGAGCAGAUGCACUUUAUGAAUUAGAUGAAAAUGGAAACUCAAGAGCACCAUUUAUUAGGAAUAUUAUAAUGCAUGAAGGCAGCUGGGGUAUAUCUCAUACACAUGUGCCAACAGAAUCUCGGCCAGGGCAUGUAGCCCUGAUAGCUGGGUUUUAUGAAGAUGUGAGUGCAGUUGCCAAAGGGUGGAAGGAAAAUCCUGUAGAAUUUGAUUCUCUUUUUAAUGAAAGCAAAUACACAUGGAGCUGGGGAAGUCCGGAUAUCUUGCCUAUGUUUGCCAAAGGUGCUAGUGGAGACCAUGUUUAUACAUACAGUUAUAAUGCUCAAAGAGAGGAUUUUGGUGCCCAUGAUGCAACAAAACUGGAUACAUGGGUUUUUGAUAAUGUUAAGGAAUUCUUUCAUGCUGCCAGAAACAACCAGUCUUUGUUUUCUAAAAUAAAUGAAGAAAAAAUAGUUUUUUUCUUACAUUUGUUAGGAAUAGAUACAAAUGGACAUGCUCACCGACCAUCUUCAAGGGAAUAUAAGGACAAUAUUAAAAUAGUUGAUGAUGGAGUGAAAGAAAUUGUGUCCAUGUUUAAACAUUUUUAUAGAAAUGAUGGAAAAACAGCAUUUAUCUUUACCUCAGACCAUGGAAUGACAGACUGGGGUUCCCAUGGGGCUGGUCAUCCUUCAGAAACUUUAACUCCCUUGGUAACUUGGGGAGCAGGAAUUAAGUAUCCCCAAAAAGUAUCAGCUCAGCACUUUGAUGAUGAGUUUUUGAAAGAAUGGGGAUUGGAGGAAUGGAAAAGGAGAGAUGUCAAUCAGGCUGAUAUUGCACCAUUGAUGGCUUCCCUUAUUGGAGUCCCUUUUCCCCUUAAUUCAGUGGGAAUCUUGCCUAUGGAUUAUCUGAACAACACUGACCUCUUUAAAGCAGAGAGCAUAUUUACAAAUGCAGUACAGAUGCUUGAACAGUUCAAGGUGAAAAUGACUCAGAAAAAAGAAACUACUUUACCAUUUUUGUUUACACCAUUUAAGUUGCUUUCUGGUUCUAAACAGAUGAACAUUUUAAGAAAAGCAAGGUCUUACAUAGAACAGGGAGAGUUUGAUGAAGCGAUCUCCCUUUGCAAAGAACUGAUUCAUCUUGCAUUGAAAGGAUUGUCCUAUUAUCAUACUUAUGAUAGAUUCUUUUUGGCCACCAAUGUUGUUCUUGGCUUUGUGGGAUGGACUGUUUAUGCUUCUUUGUUGAUCAUCAAGUCUUGUUCCAACCUAACAAGAUGUGUUAAUAAAGUUAAGAAACCAAGCCAUCUUCUGCCAUGUUUUGUAGCUAUUGGCAUUUUAAUAGCAUUUUUCCUGCUGAUUCAAGGCUGUCCCUGGACUUAUUAUGUAUAUUGUUUGUUGCCAGUGCCAAUAUGGUAUGCAGUUCUAAAAGAGUUUCAAGUUAUUCAAGAUCUUAUUGCAUCAAUAUUGGCCUUUCCUCUAAGUCAUUUUGUUGGGUAUCUGUUAGUUUUUAUUUUGGGAAUUGAAGUAUUAGUUCUUAGUUUUUUCUACCGCUAUAUGCUUACAGCUGGACUUACUGCAUUUGCAGUUUGGCCAUUCCUCAAUCAGCUGUGGACUCGAGCAAAGAUUACCUCCUUGAGUUGGACUUUCUUCUGUUUGCUUCUGGCAGUGUUCCCACUGAUGCCUGUCGUAGGUCGAAAGCCAGAUAUCUCUCUAGUAAUGGGUGCAGGCUUGCUGGUUCUUCUGCUAUCCCUGUUUGUUUUGACAUCUCUUCUGAAAAGAAAAACUAGCUUUGGAAAGGCGGAGAUAUUGGUACAUCUGUUACAGAUGAUAAAUACAGUGCUUUCUAUGUAUAUUGUGUAUAGUACCCACAAUAGUCUAUUCAAGAAACAGGGACUACCUCUUAUGAAUCAAAUUGUGAGCUGGGCAACAUUAGCCUCUUCCUUGGUUGUGCCACUGCUGAGUUCUCCGGUUCUCUUCUGGCGAUUGUUCAGCAUACUUCUUUCCUUGAUGUCAACCUAUUUACUGCUAAGCACAGGGUAUGAAGCUCUCUUUCCAUUAGUUUUGUCAUGUUUGAUGUUUAUCUGGAUAUACAUGGAACAAGAAACCCUACAACAAUCUGGUAUUUUCUCUAAACAGAAGCUCACCAGUAUCCAGUUCUCCUACAAUACUGAUAUAACUCAGUUUCGACAACUAUAUCUGGAUGACGUCCGUAGGGCUUUUUUCCUUGUCUUCUUCUUAGUGACAGCAUUUUUUGGAACUGGAAACAUAGCUUCUAUUAACAGCUUUGAUCUUGCUUCUGUCUACUGCUUUUUGACUGUGUUUAGUCCUUUUAUGAUGGGAGCCUUGAUGAUGUGGAAGAUUUUAAUUCCUUUUGUUCUUGUGAUGUGUGCUUUUGAAGCAGUUCAGUUAACUACACAGUUAUCUUCAAAAAGCCUUUUUCUCAUUGUUCUCGUCUUAUCAGACAUCAUGGCCUUGCAAUUUUUCUUCUUGAUCAAGGAUUGUGGCAGCUGGCUUGAUAUUGGAACAAGAUACCAUUUGCUUGGAAUUUCCCUUUCUAUCAGUCUCUGUAUGUCUCUGCAAAGGAGGUGUUGGGUAUUUUGUACCAGCAAAGAGAGAAAAGUAUCUAAAACAAGAACAUUAUCAGAUGAAGAAAAUACAGAUGAUUCUGAAGUUCCAUCUUCAUCAGAAAUGAACUCUACUUGUCCCAGAUCAAUAAUGUCAGUGAAGGAGAAGCAUCAGUGGUUCAAAAUGUUUGCCUCUUUGUUUGGGGAGACUAAAGAUGAUAAGGAGGAAGAAAAAGAGACACCUGAGUAACCCACAGCAGGCAAUGAGAAGACACUUCCAAGCAAAAUUCCCAGACCCCUAAGCCCUGGGUGACACUAAUGUCUGCUUUGUUGCAAGGAAAAUGAGAAGAGGCAAUACUGAUGUGGGUAGAAAUCAGAAGACAAGCUCCUCUGGCUUAUGAACCAUUUUCUCCCCUUGCCAUGAUUCAUGAGGACAAGGUGACAUGGAAAAUUCCUUGAGCAUCAGCCACUAUGUGAUUGUCAUGUCCAUGGCCAUCUUUCUGGUGUUUCUCAACGGUCUGGCACAGCUACUCACAACUAAGAAGCUCAACCUAUGUGGCAAACCCAAAAGCCACCUCCUAUAGUGUUGCUGAAUCUAGCAUCUGAAUCUUGUUUAUCAUUCUCUAAUUUAAAAGUCUCAUGAAGGAUUCAAUAAGAAGAUGGACAUAGAUACAUAGUAUAUUCUACUAUAAAAAAUCGUAUUUUGAAUUCUGAAUUUACAAGUUGUCUUCGAUAAAGGAGCUACCUUUUUCUUUGAAAUUUUUCAUUUACUUUGAAGUAGUGAUUAUGUCUGUAAGAAUGCAUAGUAAAGCAUUCUCCAUUUUUAUUCUUUCCAUUUAGCUGGCAGCUCUUCUCUAUAAUGUCCAAAUCUCCUGUACCAAUCUGAUCAUCAUGAUAUAGCUUCCUAUAUACCCAAAGGAGAGCAUCUGUGUAUGCGGACAGUAUUAAUGGCAUCCAAAAAUCAUUGCUGUAGUUGAAGUUAAAGCAGAGCAUAAGCUGGCACCAUGAGUAUUUAUUAGCUCUCAGCACUGGUUUUGUAGUAAUUUGAACUACUCAGUAAAAUCACUGGUAAGGCAGGGAGUGUUAUUUUAGAUUUACUGAAGCUUUGGCAGAAAAAUAAUUUUGCAAGUGUAUGUCAUUUUUCUUCAGAAUGCAGUAGACUUUUUAGUGCUGUUUCUAGAGUUUUCAUAGUCCACUAGUUAGAUGGAGGUUUAACUUUCACUGUCUCUUCCUCUUCACCCCAAAGUCAUUUAGAUUUUCAUGUGUCAAUUAAUUCCAGUGGACUAAAUAUUUGAAGACUAAUCUUUAUUGGAAUAUCCAUACAGUUACCUUUACAUAUCACUAUAGAGUUGGCCUUUUGCCUGUGAUAUGUCAGAAGUGUUUGGCUGAUGCUAAGCUUUGCUGGUAUGUAUCCCAUUUAAAAAAAAAUAAUUGCUUUUGAGUUAAAUUAUUGCCUUACUCAUUUGGAUUAAUGACUAGAAAGCACUUUACAGGUGACUAGAUGUUCAAAAUUUGCAAGUGAUUGAAUAAAAACAAUUUAGAAAAUUAAAAUUCAGUUUGGAGCUUGGCAUGAUGACUCAUACCUAUAAUCCCAGCACUCAGGAGACUGAGGCAGGAGGGUCGUUGUGAGUUCCAGACCAGCCUGGGGUACAAAGUAAGCUCAAAAUAAGCCCAAACUGCAUAGUGAGACCCUGUCCAAAAAAAACACAAAAUUCAGUUUGGCAUAAUAUAUUUUCUUAAUCUUUAUUUCUGAUGAACUAUAGUUUUUAAUAUAUUUGUGAUAAUACUUCAUGGUAUAGCAGUGAAAGAAUUCUGGUGUUUUAAAAGAGAAGUAUUUAUGUUAACAUAAGACCCCAUGAUUCAGUCUGUAAAACAGGCAGACAAGAGACUGCUGGGUUGGCAGAAAGAGAAUCCAUGUGUUUUCAUAUAAUCUCAUGACUUCUCAUCAGUUUUUCCCUGUAUCUGAGAAGGCUGAUUACUAUACUUAAAAAGUUAUCACUUAAGACUUUUUAUAUCUAAUUUUGCCUUUUGUUUUUCCUCAGACUUUUAUACAAAUAAAUAAAUGGAUAUUUUAUUACAGUGUUAUAAAA
Cavia porcellus (domestic guinea pig) is the source of this 5141-nucleotide RNA transcript. It is a transcript of the gene named phosphatidylinositol glycan anchor biosynthesis class N, with no coding region annotated. The record is from RefSeq and is a predicted model, not a curated record. NCBI's taxonomy places the organism in Eukaryota, Metazoa, Chordata, Mammalia, Rodentia, Caviidae. The transcript has 33 exons.